RNAcentral lists this ribosomal RNA (198 nucleotides) under uncultured bacterium. RNAcentral describes it as "partial 16S ribosomal RNA". It matches the Rfam family "Bacterial small subunit ribosomal RNA", at positions 328 to 539 of the family's 1533-position model. The record is from RNAcentral.
ACGCUCGACACCUACGGGAGGCAGCAGUGGGGAAUAUUGCACAAUGGGGGAAACCCUGAUGCAGCGACGCCGCGUGAAGGAAGAAGUAUCUCGGUAUGUAAACUUCUAUCAGCAGGGAAGAAAGUGACGGUACCUGACUAAGAAGCCCCGGCUAACUACGUGCCCGCAGCCGCGGUAAUCUGAGCGGGCUGGCAAGGC